RNAcentral lists this long non-coding RNA (452 nucleotides) under Heterocephalus glaber (naked mole-rat). RNAcentral's name for it is "lncRNA (ENSHGLG00100050015.1)". Lineage: Eukaryota; Metazoa; Chordata; Mammalia; Rodentia; Bathyergidae. The record is from RNAcentral.
GCCGGGGGUGGUCCCACAACGAGCUCGCGCCCGGUCCAAGGACAGCGGCGGCUUCACCCUGGCCACUGCCUCGAGAGCCUGUUCCCGAACCCCGGCCAUCGUCACCUUGGCGGUCUUGGCCCUGAGCAUCGUGGUGCUCAUGACGAUCACACUGGUCCAGACCCACCACUCCGAGCUCAUCCCUCCCAGGGCUGAAGUAUGGUGUCGUGCUGGACGCAGGGUCAUCCAGAACCACGGUGUACGUGUACCAGUGGCCAGCAGAGAAGGAGAACAACACCGGCGUGGUCAGCCAGACCUUCAAGUGCAGCGUGAAGGUGAGGGCACGGGCGGCCACUCUGCUCAGCCACUCGGGCCCCGUUCCUGCCUCCCUUGCCUCAGUUUUCCUCUGUGAAUAGGGGAGUCCAGGCUUCACUGCCUCACCUCCGUGCAGCUGGCAGCAGCCUCCCGGUCCC